This 540-nucleotide ribosomal RNA is filed under the name Betta taeniata. RNAcentral's name for it is "partial 16S ribosomal RNA". It matches the Rfam family "Bacterial large subunit ribosomal RNA", at positions 1856 to 2597 of the family's 2925-position model. The record is from RNAcentral. Lineage: Eukaryota; Metazoa; Chordata; Actinopteri; Anabantiformes; Osphronemidae.
CGCCUGCCCUGUGACAUAUGUUUAACGGCCGCGGUAUUUUGACCGUGCAAAGGUAGCGCAAUCACUUGUCUUUUAAAUGAAGACCUGUAUGAAUGGCAUGACGAGGGCUUAGCUGUCUCCCUUUUCCAGUCAAUGAAAUUGAUCUCCCCGUGCAGAAGCGGGGAUAUAACCAUAAGACGAGAAGACCCUAUGGAGCUUUAGACGCAAGGCAGAUCUUGUUAAACACUUCAAAAUAAAGAAACAAACUAAGAGUAACCCUGCCCCGUUGUCUUUGGUUGGGGCGACCACGGGGAGACAAACAACCCCCAAGCGGACUGGGAAAACAGUUCUCACAACCGAGAGUUACAACUCUAAUCAACAGAAAUUCUGACCUCAAGAUCCGGCAACGCCGAUCAACGGACCGAGUUACCCUAGGGAUAACAGCGCAAUCCCCUUUUAGAGUCCAUAUCGACAAGGGGGUUUACGACCUCGAUGUUGGAUCAGGACAUCCUAAUGGUGCAGCAGCUAUUAAGGGUUCGUUUGUUCAACGAUUAAAGUCCU